This 82-nucleotide transfer RNA is filed under the name Cubamyces sp. BRFM 1775. RNAcentral's name for it is "Leiotrametes sp. BRFM 1775 tRNA-Arg". It matches the Rfam family "tRNA". From Rfam's summary of the family: Transfer RNA (tRNA) molecules are approximately 80 nucleotides in length. Their secondary structure includes four short double-helical elements and three loops (D, anti-codon, and T loops). Further hydrogen bonds mediate the characteristic L-shaped molecular structure. tRNAs have two regions of fundamental functional importance: the anti-codon, which is responsible for specific mRNA codon recognition, and the 3' end, to which the tRNAs corresponding amino acid is attached (by aminoacyl-tRNA synthetases). tRNAs cope with the degeneracy of the genetic code in two manners: having more than one tRNA (with a specific anti-codon) for a particular amino acid; and 'wobble' base-pairing, i.e. permitting non-standard base-pairing at the 3rd anti-codon position. The record is from RNAcentral. Lineage: Eukaryota; Fungi; Basidiomycota; Agaricomycetes; Polyporales; Polyporaceae.
GGCCGGCUGGCCUAAUGGUUAAGGCGUCAGUUUCCGGUGACGGAUUAGCUGAAGAUUCUGGGUUCGACUCCCAGGUUGGUCG